GGGCUAGGGUUGUAGUGGGCUAAGCACAAACAAAGAGGCCCAAGGCCUCAGGUCUGGUUGGGGACACCCCAGCCAAGGCUGGGCAUGUUGUCGUCGAUGAAACAAGGCACGGCGCUGCAGGUUGGGCUAUUCCUAAGAAGUUGAUGUCGAAGUUACGUCGAGAUGAUGUUCCAAACCAUCUGAGGAGUGAUAAAUCUCGAACUCCGUGGAGAUUUCGAAGGAAAACUCGAAGCCUGAAUCUUGGGGAGAAGAUCGGACGACAUCUAGUCGUCGGCUUUCACCACUGUGAUAACUUCAAGUCAUCAAAAAAUUAUGGGUCUCACCUGGAAACGAUUGCAGGUCGUCUAUGUUUGUCGAAAAUCAUAUAUUUCGACAAAAAAUCGCACAAUUGUGAUGAGGUAGACGGAGAAGAUGGUACGAACGACAAGUCGUUCUAAUCCAUGUCUCUAGCUUAGCGCAAGCUUUGGCUUAGUGGCUCCAAAAUGAGUUGCAUGCUUAAGCUGAGAAUUUGUUAAUUAAGCCUAGUUUAAAGAAGACUAGGGCAUUUAAGCCCAUUACGAGUUCUAGGGUUUCAGCAACCUUUUUUUUUUUUUUUUGUUUCUGUAUUCACACGUAUGUAAUUCAUAUAAUAGCAAUAUUAUGAUUAUAAUGCAUAAACAAUUUAUGUAAAAUCUAAAAUUCGUAAAUCGUAAAGUUGGGUCAUGCAUUAUGGUGAAGGUUCAUGCAAUCAAGGCUGAAAAAAAAUCAAGAUAAACACCGUUGUUUUAGAAGAACCUGGAUUGCGUGAUGAAUAUUGUGAAUGGGUUUGUAGGAGUUCUUUCUUCAAUUUCAGCUUUCAUCUUCAAGCUUGUAUCAUGUUCAACAUAAGAAGAAAAAUAAAUUGAAUCAAUAAAAGUAUAUGAAUUCAAUACAAUCAAAAUUCAAUCAAUUAAAAAAUAAUUGAAACAUAAUACUCCCCUGAUUGAAGAUGAAUAAAUUCUCUUUAGCACAGCGUGAAGAGCGUGAUGAUAACGUGUUGUGGCCUAUAUUUAAUAGAAAGGUGCGGCAAAGGGAAAAAGAGAGAGUGGAGAAUAGGCUUGAGGAAUUGUGUGUUAAUUCCCCAGUCUUUGUGCCUUUAUUUAUAGUAAUAAGGAGGAAAGAAACUUGCUCUCCAAGUAAUACAAAGUAUAUUAGGAAAG
This 1178-nucleotide long non-coding RNA is filed under the name Malus domestica (apple). RNAcentral's name for it is "long non-coding RNA (MDOM_LNC014100)". Lineage: Eukaryota; Viridiplantae; Streptophyta; Magnoliopsida; Rosales; Rosaceae. The record is from RNAcentral.